This 406-nucleotide ribosomal RNA is filed under the name uncultured bacterium. RNAcentral describes it as "partial 16S ribosomal RNA". It matches the Rfam family "Bacterial small subunit ribosomal RNA", at positions 29 to 526 of the family's 1533-position model. The record is from RNAcentral.
AUUGAACGCUGGCGGCAAGCCUAACACAUGCAAGUCGAACGAGUGGCGGACGGGUGAGUAAUGUCUGGGAAACUGCCUGGUGGAGGGGGAUAACUACUGGAAACGGUAGCUAAUACCGCAUACCAGCGGAUGUGCCCAGAUGGGAUGAGCUAGUAGGUGGGGUAAAGGCUCACGUAGGCGACGAUCCCUAGCUGGUGUGAGAGGAUGACCAGCCACACUGGAACUGGGAGACGGACCAGACUCCCACGGGAGGCAGCAGUGGGGAAUAUUGCACAAUGGGCGCAAGCCUGAGGCAGCCAUGCCGCGUGUAUGAAGAAGGCCUUCGGGUUGUAAAGUACUGUCAGCGGGGAGGCGUUACCCGCAGAAGAAGCACCGGCUAACUCCGUGCCAGCCGCCGCGGUAAUAC